Molecule: ribosomal RNA, 319 nt
Filed under: uncultured eukaryote
Lineage: Eukaryota
Description: partial 18S ribosomal RNA
Rfam family: Eukaryotic small subunit ribosomal RNA
Source: RNAcentral
CCCUUAGAUGUUCUGGGCAGCACGCGCGCUACAAUGGUCUUCGCAAACGGAUGCAUUCUCGAAGGAGAAUGCCAAUCUUGGAAUCUAUGCCUUGGUCGGGACAGUUGCUUGCAAUUUUUCGACUCGAACCAGGAAUUCCUUGUAAUCGUGAUUCAUCACAUCACGAUGAAUACGUCCCUGCCCUUCGUACACACCGCCCGUCGCUCCUACCGAUCGAAGAGUUAGGUGAAUUGUUUUGAUCGAUAAGAUUUGACUAUGGUCAACUCUCGUUGUGAAAUUCUGUGAAUCUGACUGUUUAGAGGAAGGAAAAGUCGUAACA